Molecule: ribosomal RNA, 477 nt
Filed under: uncultured bacterium
Lineage: Bacteria
Description: bacterial SSU rRNA
Rfam family: Bacterial small subunit ribosomal RNA
Source: RNAcentral
ACUCCUACGGGAGGCAGCAGUGGGGAAUAUUGCACAAUGGGCGCAAGCCUGAUGCAGCCAUGCCGCGUGUAUGAAGAAGGCCUUCGGGUUGUAAAGUACUUUCAGCAGUGAGGAAGGUGGAUAUGUUAAUAGCAUAUUCUAUUUGUACGUUAGCUGCAGAAGAAGCACCGGCUAACUCCGUGCCAGCAGCCGCGGUAAUACGGAGGGUGCGAGCGUUAAUCGGAAUUACGUGGCGUAAAGCGCAUGCAGGUGGUUUGUUAAGUCAGAUGUGAAAGCCCGGGGCUCAACCUCGGAAUUGCAUUUGAAACUGGCAAACUAGAGUACUGUAGAGGGGGUUAGAAUUUCAGGUGUAGCGGUGAAAUGCGUAGAGAUCUGAAGGAAUACCGGUGGCGAACGGCGGCCCCCGUGGACAGAUACUGACACUCAGAUGCGAAAGCGUGGGAGCAAACAGGAUUAGAUACCCCUGGUAGGUCAGUC